RNAcentral lists this ribosomal RNA (775 nucleotides) under uncultured Neocallimastigales. RNAcentral describes it as "partial large subunit ribosomal RNA". It matches the Rfam family "Eukaryotic large subunit ribosomal RNA", at positions 26 to 637 of the family's 3401-position model. The record is from RNAcentral. Lineage: Eukaryota; Fungi; Neocallimastigomycota; Neocallimastigomycetes; Neocallimastigales.
CGCAUCUGUGCAUGCAGCAUAUCAAUAAGCGGAGGAAAAGAAACUAACAAGGAUUCCCCUAGUAACGGCGAGUGAAGCGGGAAGAGCUCAAGUUUGAAAUCUUAAAGGGUUUCCCUUUACGAAUUGUAGUUUAAAGAAGUGUUUUCUGUUGAGGUUUUGGUAAAAGUUCUUUGGAAUAGGACAUCAUAGAGGGUGAGAAUCCCGUAUUUGACCUUUACUUUCAACUUUGUGAUACACUUUCAAAGAGUCGGAUUGUUUGGGAAUGCAGUCCAAAAUGGGUGGUAAAUUUCAUCUAAAGCUAAAUAUUGGCGAGAGACCGAUAGCGAACAAGUACCGUGAGGGAAAGAUGAAAAGAACUUUGAAAAGAGAGUUAAACAGUACGUGAAAUUGUCAAAAGGGAAGCGUUUGACACCAGUGUUGUUUUUCUGAAAAUCAAUUAAAGAACUGUUUAUGCUAAGUUGUUUUAGACUUUAUCAGCUAACUGUUUAGUUUUGAGCUUUUCUUUAAUGCACUUUUCAGUUAACAAGUCAACAUCAAUUUCUUUUGCUGUAAAAAAGCUUGAGGAAGGUGGCUUGAGAUUCGUCUUAAGUGUUUAUAGCCUCUUGCCUAUGCAGUCGGAGAGAUUGAGGUCUGCAGCGUAGAUCCUUCGGGGCUAAAUGCAUUUGUGCUAAGUUAUAACAUUUUAUAGACAACUUGUUGACUAUGAUUUGUCUUGUAGCUUACUCGCUUAUGUUAUUUUACCUACGCUUAGGAUGUUGACAGCAGUAUAGACUGU